UCCCAGAAUCAUGUUUGCUUUUUUUGCUAACUAGCAUCACACUGUUGACUCAUGUUUGGGCUGUGGGUCCUUAUAACCCCUAGAUGCCAGGGAUGCAUAAUGUGCC
Molecule: non-coding RNA, 106 nt
Organism: Chelonoidis abingdonii (Abingdon island giant tortoise)
Lineage: Eukaryota; Metazoa; Chordata; Testudines; Testudinidae
Source: RefSeq, a predicted model, not a curated record